This 419-nucleotide ribosomal RNA is filed under the name uncultured bacterium. RNAcentral's name for it is "bacterial SSU rRNA". It matches the Rfam family "Bacterial small subunit ribosomal RNA", at positions 356 to 772 of the family's 1533-position model. The record is from RNAcentral.
AAGGAAUAUUGGACAAUGGGCGCAAGCCUGAUCCAGCCAUGCCGCGUGCAGGAUGAAGGCCCUAUGGGUUGUAAACUUCUUUUAUCUGGGAAAAAACCCAUGAAUUCUUUCGUGGUUGACGGUACCAGAUGAAUAAGCACCGGCUAACUCCGUGCCAGCAGCCGCGGUAAUACGUAGGUGGCAAGCGUUGUCCGGAUUUAUUGGGUUUAAAGGGUGCGUAGGCGGUUGAUUAAGUCAGUGCUGAAAUAUCCCGGCUUAACCGGGAGGGUGGCAUUGAUACUGAUUGACUUGAGUAAAGUUGAGGUAGGCGGAAUUGACGGUGUAGCGGUGAAAUGCUUAGAUAUCGUCAAGAACACCGAUAGUGUAGACAGCUUACUAAGCUUUAACUGACGCUGAGGCACGAAAGUGUGGGGAUCAAA